This 3720-nucleotide long non-coding RNA is filed under the name Sorghum bicolor (sorghum). Its description in RNAcentral is "long non-coding RNA (SBIC_LNC010374)". Lineage: Eukaryota; Viridiplantae; Streptophyta; Magnoliopsida; Poales; Poaceae. The record is from RNAcentral.
GCACAAGAAGGACAUAGCUCAUUCAUCAUAGAGAGAUGAUCUAUGGAGGGUGCCACAAACACGACGCACAACCGCUAAGAAAGGAAAGCUUCCACAAGAUGAUACUGUACCAUCACUCUUCAAGCAAGGUAACAUCUUAAGGUACUUGACUAUCACUUUUAUAAGCUUCUCCUUGGUUCUAGCGUUCAUAUAAAUAAAAGAGACAAACAUGUAUGAUUUACAACCCUAGAUUAACCAACCCAACUGAUUCAACAUGUUUAGUCCUUUAAUCCUUGUUCUUAGUACUACCUCCAUGAUCCCACACUCCUAAUCAUAUGAGCUAAAAUGUUACACAUUCAAUCAUUAAGAGAUAUAAAGAAAAAGACAUAUACAUAGAUAGAUUAUCUUUCCAUAAGGUUGAGCGAUCUGAUCUGACAAAUGUUAUAAGUGCUACACUCAUGAACUUAUCAUCCAUCAACUUGUCUUGCUCACUAUGCUUAAGGUUAGAGAAGAACAAAUACACUUUUGGUUCUGUUGGUGUUUUCCACCAACAGGGCCCAUGCACUUGAUCUCUGCCUUGUCUCUAUGAGCAGGUACACUUCGAGCAAAACACGGAGGAGUUUUAUAACUCUCAGACUCUAUCAAGUGAAGGACCUAGAUCUAUGAGCACAAACACACUGAGCAGGACAAUGCCAACGCCUCACUUCGAACUGCUGGGCAAACGAAGAGGUGCAUACGUCAAGGUCCGCACCUGAAUCAAAUGACGCACCUGAAGAAUGAACACGGUGAGAAGUCUUGUCAAGAAGACUUAAAACAUUGAACCCUCGCCGAAAGGUAAGAUUGGUAGUUAUCCAUAUUUAUCCUUUCUGCAUUCCCUUUUCCCUUUAAUUAUUUACUUUCCUUAAAUAGAUUUUUAGUUUAUCAUGCUAUCUUGAAAAGAAAAUAAAAAUGUUAAAAAAUACUAAGCCCCAUGUGAGUAUACGAGUGGCAUAAAACCCAUAAGUACCUUCACUGUGGUGGCAUAAAAAUAAAAUAAAUAUUUCUUUUCUACUUUAUAAAAUAAAAAUAUAAAAACAGGGAGUAAUAUUUAUUGAGGAAGCUCAACGUGAUGAAGGCUAGAUAUUUAUGCUAACACUUAAUUAGUUCCACAAGCUGUGUUGUCUAUUUGAGCUCCACAGAAUUUAAGAAUCAAGAAAACUAGCAGACGGAGGACAUUCUAAUCGCUGUCAGAAUGCUGCUGACUUUCAAAUACACCUCUGCCACCUGCUAGCUACAUCAAGAGAAAUUACGUCAAAAUUCAGCUUGGGGGAGAGCACCCCCAUUUAUCUCGCUAAGUAUUUCUACCUAUCUUUAUACUUAUAUUAUAUUAGAAUAUUAAAAUACAUAAACUAUGAAAAACCAAAUAAAGAUUUUGUGCUUAUAUAUAUAUAUAUCUUUUGCUUAGUGUGUUUAAUAAAUAAAUAAAGUGGCUAUGCUAAUCUGAAUCUUAAUAAUAAAACUCUAGCAUGGAUAUGAUGAAUAGUUGCUCUGCCUAAUUUGCAAAUUUGAAGUUCUCUCUCAAGUUUAGACAUAACUAUUAUAAUUUAAAGCUUGCUCUAGAUCCAAACUUGUGGGAUGAAAACUUGAUCUGAAAUCUAAGUUGUUAACGGAUAUGAUAUGGGAAGGUUGAGCUGCUGUUUAUCUAUUCCUAGAGAUGCUAGAAUUCUGGAGAAUUUUAUCUUUGAAAAAUCUUUAAAAUGUUGCAUGAUGAGUUCCUGUAUGAUGAAAGUUUAAAUUCCUACCACAGCCAUAUAUACAUGCUUGCUAGACUUUGAGCCACACAUUUAUUAUUUACUGCUUAUGAGCAUUGAGUGUGGUCAAGCUGUGUAGACCCUUAGGAGCUUGUCAUGUGGUUAAAUCAAGAUUCACUUGCACGUUCACUCAUAUAUAUGCUACUUCUACUCCGGAAGUACCAUCCACAUAUAUCCAUCCAUUUCCAUCUCCAGAAUCACCUAAAAAUAUUCUACUCCUAAUCCGGGAGAGAAUAGCCAAAAACAUUUUCCUAUCCCUGUUAUUCCUUGUGAAAUAAAUGCUCAAGUUAUCUUGCUACUACCACUUGCUAUAUUAUCUUAAGUGAUGAGUGCUCUGAAAAAAAAGAGAGAAAAAGAAAAAAAAUAAACGAGGAAAUAAAAAGGGGCAAGUGCCCGGAACCUCGAAAGAAAAGAAAAAGAGUGAGACGAGAGGUAAAAAUGGACAAGUGUCCGACAGUAGAAUUAGGGGUACAGGAUACCCAUCUGAGAGAAAAGAAAAAGAAGAGCAUCUCAUUCUCCUCAUAAAGUUUCAAAAAGCAAGGAAGGUAUGUAUCCCCUCAAAAGAGCAAAAGUAGAAUUAGACUUUCACCAUUGUUAUCACCAUCAUCACCAUACACUAUUCAUUCGCCACACAUGCACAUCUUGAUUUGGCUUAUUGAUUUGUUUCUUUGGAUCCAUGGUUUGACUAUACAAUAAAUGUCUUGUAAGUAUGUAUAUUUUAUCUCCCACCUAUGAGCUCCAGAUAUUAAAGCCUUAUUAGAGUAGGGUGAGAGAGAAGACAAUGUCACUAUCCCUUAUACCACAAAUACCACAUAUUUUGAGAGAAGACAUAUACCAUCACUGCCUUGGUAAGGAUCCAGAAAUACCACAAAAGAGAGAUAUGAGAGAGUCAUACAAAGGAAUCUCUGAGUUUUAUUUGAAAAUCUGCAAAAACUCCAGAGCUAUAGCUGAUCAAGAAUAAGCGACAUGGCACUUGACUGGACUGUUCUAUCUUUUAACCACUCAAGACAGAAGUGACGGUUACAAGUCCCAUGGUGAAAGGUAAAGUAAGUAAGUUUUAAGUCUUGACAGUUUAUUCUAACUCAGAGAUGAGACCUCAUUUAAAAGCAUAUUGUUGGGUAUUUUAAACGCAAACAGAAAAAUCCGCAAGCGCACGGAUACCGAUGUAGCCUUCACCCGGGAGUAUUCCAGAGUAUCGAUUUUCCACAGGGAACGUGAGUGUACUAAUUAUGAUCCAAGAUCGCCCAAGGAUAACUAUAUGAUUAUUUUUGGUGGGAAGAGAGGAAGUUUCCUCAGAGUUCUCUAGUUGAUCUAAGAAUCAAGAAUUACUUCAAGAUUAUCUAUAUCGGGACAUCAGAGCACUAACCACAGAAAGAGAUGAGAAGGGGGCUAGGAAGGUCUGACUACGGUCCUACAAACACCGAUCCAAACGUGGUGGAAUACAUCGACCGUUAGGGCUGUCACUACCCUAAGGCUACCACAACAAUCUGCAGGAUUGGGUGCAAUUCCAGGUAAUCGCAAGACUAAACACCACGUCUAAUCUAUUAAUUACUACUCUAGCAUUAUAAAGACUAGAGCACUUGAUGCAAGCGGGAAUCCAAUAAAUAACUUGAAUGUAAAUAAAAGUAAUUAGAGAACUCAGGAAUUAUGAAUUGAAGAACCUGGAGAACGAUGAAGAACGAACCAGUUGCUGCAAAAGUAUAAUGUUGAGGAAGAUCCGACAGAUUCGGCUCCUCCUCCGCUCUCCUCUUCUCUCUCCCUAUUUUCUAGAUUACAACUAGAACUAACUAGAACUAGAACUAGAGGAACUAGAACUAGAACUAGAUGAACUAGAACUAGAUCUAGAUGAACUAGAGGUAGAACUAGAAGAACUAGAGGGAUCCUCUCUACUUGGAUGAAGAAUUGAAACCCUAGCUUUGAUUCUGUAGAAGAGGUAUGAUCUCCAGGGGCC